This 1530-nucleotide unclassified non-coding RNA is filed under the name Hevea brasiliensis (rubber tree). Lineage: Eukaryota; Viridiplantae; Streptophyta; Magnoliopsida; Malpighiales; Euphorbiaceae. The record is from RNAcentral.
UUUGUGUUUUGUGUUUUGUGUUGGAUGGCUGCAUUUCUCUUUCUCUCGAUUUUUAGAACCUAAAAAAAAAAUCCCCAUUCAUUCAUUCGUUCGUUCAUUCAUUCUCUGUAUAAUUAAUUUUGCAGACAAUCCAAUACCAUUAUUCAAUCAAUCAUGCGACCAGCCGCCAACUCCACCAACGCUGCAUCAUCCAUGCCUCCUCCAUCUUCCGCCGGGCAACGCAGUCGUCCCCGCCGUCGUACUGAUUUGACCCUUCCUCUUCCUCAACGUGACGUUGCUCUUGCUGUUCCUCUCCCUCUUCCACCAACCUCUUCCUCAUCCUCUUCCUCCCCGCUUCCUACCCCUUUACAUUUCUCUGAGCUCGAGAGGGUUAAUCGCAUCGGUAGUGGCACCGGGGGUACUGUUUACAAGGUUCUACAUCGUCCCACUGGAAGACUCUAUGCUUUGAAAGUGAUCUAUGGUAACCACGAGGAUUCUGUCCGUCUUCAGAUGUGCCGUGAGAUCGAGAUUCUACGAGAUGUAGACAACCCUAACGUCGUUAGGUGUCACGAUAUGUUCGAUCACAACGGAGAAAUCCAAGUUCUUCUCGAGUUCAUGGAUAAAGGCUCUCUCGAAGGGAUCCAUAUCCCUCUCGAACAACCUCUCUCCGAUCUAACUCGACAGGUUCUAUCCGGCCUCUAUUACCUCCACAGGCGUAAGAUUGUUCACAGAGAUAUCAAACCUUCGAACCUCUUAAUCAACUCCAGGCGUGAGGUCAAGAUUGCAGAUUUUGGGGUCUCAAGAGUUCUGGCACAAACUAUGGAUCCUUGCAAUUCCUCAGUGGGUACCAUCGCUUACAUGAGUCCGGAGAGAAUCAACACAGAUCUGAAUCACGGACAGUACGACGGGUAUGCUGGGGACAUAUGGAGUCUUGGGGUGAGCAUCUUAGAGUUCUACUUGGGAAGGUUCCCCUUUUCUGUGGGGAGACAAGGAGACUGGGCCAGCCUCAUGUGUGCCAUUUGUAUGUCUCAGCCUCCUGAGGCACCACCCAGUGCUUCUAGGGAGUUUAGGGAGUUCAUUGCGUGCUGUUUGCAGAGGGAUCCUGCCAGGCGGUGGACGGCAGGCCAGCUAUUGCGCCAUCCCUUCAUCACCCAGAAUAGCACCGGCACCACCCACACGGGUCCUGCUACUACUACGACCUCACUGAGUCAUCCAUUGUUACCUCCACCUCCUCAUUUUUCCUCCUCUUCUUGACGGUUUUAGGUUUGGAGAAAUUCCCCACUCUCUUUUGUUUUAGUUUUGUGGUUUUAUUUUGGUGUAAUGUUAAAAUGUUGUUUACUGAUGAUGGAUUUUUAUUUGUGGGAGAAAGAAAAAAUGGGGCUGGUUUUCCACUUUGAGGGAAGUAGAAAUAUUAUGGGUUGCCCCCAACUUAGUGAUUCAAUUAAUGAUAUUUUGGAUAUUUAUUAAAUCAUCCUAAGUUUUGCUUGUGAUUGAUUGUUUGUGUAUUGGAUUUGUUCAAAGUUACAUUUAAAUGGGGAAAAAGAGAUAAAA